Molecule: long non-coding RNA, 749 nt
Organism: Mauremys reevesii (Reeves's turtle)
Lineage: Eukaryota; Metazoa; Chordata; Testudines; Geoemydidae
Exons: 6
Source: RefSeq, a predicted model, not a curated record
AGAGUUGAGAGUAAUGAGCUGAAGAUCGAAGUCUAGUUCUGCCAUUGACUCAGAUGGAGGCCUUUGGAAGCUCUGAUUUGCCAUUCAGACCCAGGGCAGAGACUGAAAUCCAUACCUGCUCUGUCUCCAAACAGGUCAUUAGAAGACACGAAGCCUCAAAAGGGAUUACAACCUAUGGUCCACAUCCUACUAGUUGUUCUGUGCUAGAGGACCCUGAAGGCUGUUCCAUGAUUGGUGUCUAAAAAGACAAAAAACAGACAAUUGUGGGAGUGGAGGGAUGUAUAUCACACAUGCAGUGUGAUCAGGGUGACUGGCAGGGUUUAUUAAAAACUAAAGCCCUCUCCCCUCAUUGACUAUUCAAAAUGGGAUUGGAGGUGUUAUCACUCCAUUAACACAGGAUGGACUAUAGCUGUACACUGUGUGGGGAAAACAUCUCAGUGAGUUGCCCAGGGUGCACAGAAAGCGGCAGAGUGUCUUCAUUAAUGUUGAGACCACCAGACAUGAUGGGUCAGCAUUUGUGAAUCUUAAAGUUUAAAUAAGCACCUGUUCUCUGCAUCUAACUUACGUGGGGAGAGACUCUUAUAUCUGCCUACUGCAGAGUUUCAUUCACCUCCCUCAGAAGCAUCCGGUGCUGACCUCAUUCGGAGCCAGGAUAUUGGACUAGCUAGACCUGGAGUCUGAUCCAAUGUGGUACCCCAAGUCAACAGGACUACAAGAGUAAGCUCUACUCAACUUAUAAAGCUACAGCU